This 29-nucleotide non-coding RNA is filed under the name Rattus norvegicus (Norway rat). Lineage: Eukaryota; Metazoa; Chordata; Mammalia; Rodentia; Muridae. The record is from RNAcentral.
UGCAAAAGGGUAUGUAGUGCUAGCCGAAU